UUAAAGAGUUCUAUAACUCCCAAACCCAUGUGAACAUACCUAACGUUGCCUCGGCAGGUCGCACCUACCUUGUAGCACCCUACCCUGUAGGGCCUACCCGGGAGGUGCGGGUAAGCCUGCCGGCGGCCCACCAAACUCUGUUUGAUAUUGAAUUCUGAACCUAUAACUAAAUAAGUUAAAACUUUCAACAACGGAUCUCUUGGUUCUGGCAUCGAUGAAGAACGCAGCGAAAUGCGAUAAGUAAUGUGAAUUGCAGAAUUCAGUGAAUCAUCGAAUCUUUGAACGCAUAUUGCGCCCAUUAGUAUUCUAGUGGGCAGGACCGUUCGAGCGUCAUUUCAACCCUUAAGCCUUCGUUGCUUAGUGUUGGGAGCCUACGGCAACGUAGCUCCUCAAAGUUAGUGGCGGAGUUGGUUCACACUCUAGACGUAGUAAUUUUUUAUCUCGCCUAUUAGUUGGACUAAUCCCCUGCCGUAAAACCCCCAAUUUAUCAAGGUUGACCUCGAAUCGGUUCAGACAAACUCGCUAAAUUGAAGCAUCUUAGUCAGCGAAGGAAAAGAAACCAACAGGGAUUGCCCUAGUAACGGCGAGUGAAGCGGCAACAGCUCAAAUUUGAAAUCUGGCCCUCGGGUCCGAG
Molecule: ribosomal RNA, 634 nt
Filed under: fungal endophyte
Lineage: Eukaryota; Fungi
Description: eukaryotic LSU rRNA
Rfam family: 5.8S ribosomal RNA (bases 180-333)
Source: RNAcentral